GGACACCCAAUGCUUGAUCGUAGCCCGACCAAGAGCCUCGAGAAGCCCUCUGUUAUCCGCUAGGUUGAUCAUAGAUUAAAACAUUCAAUGACGAGUACAAAGAGCAUCAGUGAGAGGAGUUCCCCUAUCUCAGCCCAUGACCAUGACGAGUACAAGCCCUCUGUUUGGAUAUGCAUGGAAAGUUUUUCUUCGAAUUAAAUUCCAAAUAUUGUUUGGAAGAUUGGUACCAUGGAAUCUCCAAUGUGAUCCAACAAACGCUACUUUCUCUCUCUCUCAUGCUUCUUUCUCCUCACUCUCUCUCUCAUGCUUCUCUUUCUCCUCUCUCUCGUCCUUCUCUCUCCUCACUCUCUUUCUCUACCCUCUCUCAUCCUUCUCUCUCUCCUCUCUCUCAUCAUUCCUAAUAGUUGCCUCAUCAGGUCACUAGGUCAUCUUCUUGGCAAACGCACACAGAAAAAAUGACAGAAGUCUAGCUGAUUCCCAGCAUAUGCACAUAGGUAUUGUAUAUACAUGUAGGAAAAUGACUUGGAUGACAUACAAACAGAUACAAUCUGCA
Molecule: long non-coding RNA, 553 nt
Filed under: Setaria viridis
Lineage: Eukaryota; Viridiplantae; Streptophyta; Magnoliopsida; Poales; Poaceae
Description: long non-coding RNA (SVIR_LNC011035)
Source: RNAcentral